RNAcentral lists this ribosomal RNA (386 nucleotides) under uncultured bacterium. Its description in RNAcentral is "bacterial SSU rRNA". It matches the Rfam family "Bacterial small subunit ribosomal RNA", at positions 29 to 440 of the family's 1533-position model. The record is from RNAcentral.
AACGAACGCUGGCGGCAGGCUUAACACAUGCAAGUCGAACGGGCACCUUCGGGUGUCAGUGGCAGACGGGUGAGUAACGCGUGGGAACGUACCCUUCGGUUCGGAAUAACCCAGGGAAACUUGGGCUAACACCGGAUACGUCCGCAAGGAGAAAGAUUUAUCGCCGAAGGAUCGGCCCGCGUCGGAUUAGCUAGUUGGUGGGGUAAUGGCCCACCAAGGCGACGAUCCGUAGCUGGUCUGAGAGGAUGANCAGCCACACUGGGACUGAGACACGGCCCAGACUCCUACGGGAGGCAGCAGUGGGGAAUAUUGGACAAUGGGCGAAAGCCUGAUCCAGCCAUGCCGCGUGAGUGAAGAAGGCCUUAGGGUUGUAAAGCUCUUUCAGC